CUUCGAUGAAGAGUUGAUGACGAGUCUGACUUGGGGGUGUUAUCUUUGUCCCCAAGAGCCUCCCUGUGCUACGUUCUGUGGCACAGUUGAAAGCACUGUGUUCAAAGAAACUUCCUAAAGAUGACCUAGAGGCAUUUGUCUGAGAAGG
This is a small nucleolar RNA of Nannospalax galili (Upper Galilee mountains blind mole rat), 148 nucleotides long. The record is from Ensembl. Lineage: Eukaryota; Metazoa; Chordata; Mammalia; Rodentia; Spalacidae.